GCGGGCGUAUGGUGACCUUGACGCCGUCGUCGGUGCGCUCCUGGCGCACCAGGAUUUCGGGCGAGGCGCCGAUGACGUGCAAGUCGCUGCCGCGCGCG
Molecule: transfer RNA, 98 nt
Filed under: Tepidimonas thermarum
Lineage: Bacteria; Pseudomonadati; Pseudomonadota; Betaproteobacteria; Burkholderiales
Description: tRNA-Arg
Source: RNAcentral